Molecule: ribosomal RNA, 1813 nt
Filed under: human gut metagenome
Description: bacterial LSU rRNA
Rfam family: Bacterial large subunit ribosomal RNA
Source: RNAcentral
AUGCAUUCAAAGAGUGCGUAACAGCUCACUGGUCGAGUGGACAUGCGCCGACAAUACACGGGGCUAAGCUGGACACCGAAGCGGCGGGAUUUUGAUUUUCAGAAUCGGUAGGGGAGCUUCCCAUGGGCGGGGAAGCCGCCGGGCGACCGGCGGUGGAGCGCAUGGGAGUGAGAAUGCUGGCAUGAGUAGCGAGAGACGAGAGAGUAACUCGUCCGCCGUGAACCCGAGGUUUCCUGGGCAAGGCUAAUCCUCCCAGGGUCAGUCGGGGGCUAAGGCGAGGCCGGGAGGCGUAGCCGACGCGCAGCAGGCAGACAUUCCUGCACCGCGCACGCGGCGCUACGACCGACGGGGCGACGGAUGGGGGUGGCUCGGCGGGGUUCUGGACGUCCCCGUGAUGGAGCGCGGCCCGCGGACCAGGGAAAUCCGGUCCGCACGAGGGCGAGGCUCCGGACGAAGCACUUAAGCGAAGCGAGUGAGCCCGAGGUCCCUAGAAAAACCCCUAGGCAGGCGCGUGCGCGCCCGUACCGCAAACCGACACAGGUGGGUGGGUAGAACAUACCGAGGCGAUCGGGUCAACCAUGGUCAAGGAACUCGGCACAAUGGCCCCGUAACUUCGGGAGAAGGGGUGCCCGCGCGUACGUGAACGGACUUGCUCCGGGAGCGGAGGCGGGCCGCAGUGGAGAGGCCCAAGCGACUGUUUACCAAAAACACAGGACUCUGCAGAAGCCGCAAGGCGACGUAUAGGGUCUGACGCCUGCCCGGUGCCGGAAGGUCACGCGGAGGAGUUAGCCGCAAGGCGAAGCCCCGAAGCCAAGCCCCGGUAAACGGCGGCCGUAACUAUAACGGUCCUAAGGUAGCGAAAUUCCUUGUCGGGUAAGUUCCGACCUGCACGAAAGGCGCAACGACUUGGGCGCUGUCUCGACCAUGGACCCGGUGAAAUUGCACUGGUCGUGAAGAUGCGACUUACCCGCGGAAGGACGGAAAGACCCCGUGAACCUUCACUGCAGCUUGGCAUUGGCCGCUGGUCCCGCGUGUAGAGGAUAGGCAGGAGGCACAGAUCCGGAGGCGCCAGCCCCCGGGGAGCCGCCCUUGGAAUACUGCCCUCGCGCGACCGGCGUCCUAACCCGAGGCCGUCGACCGGCUCGGGGACCGUGCCAGGCGGGCAGUUUGACUGGGGCGGUCGCCUCCUAAAGGGUAACGGAGGCGCGCGAAGGUCCGCUCGGGACGGUCGGCAACCGUCCUUUUGAAUGCAAGAGUACAAGCGGGCUUGACUGCGAGGCCCACAAGCCGAGCAGGUGCGAAAGCAGGCUCUAGUGAUCCGGCGGCCCCGAGUGGGUGGGCCGUCGCUCAACGGAUAAAAGGUACUCCGGGGAUAACAGGCUGAUCUUGCCCAAGAGUCCACAUCGACGGCAAGGUUUGGCACCUCGAUGUCGGCUCAUCGCAUCCUGGGGCUGGAGCAGGUCCCAAGGGUUGGGCUGUUCGCCCAUUAAAGCGGUACGCGAGCUGGGUUCAGAACGUCGUGAGACAGUUCGGUCCCUAUCCUCCGUGGGCGCAGGAGAAUCGAUGGAGGCUGCCCCCAGUACGAGAGGACCGGGGUGGACGCACCUCCGGUGAACCGGUUGUCGACCAACGGCACGGCCGGGUAGCCGCGUGCGGCGCGGAUAACCGCUGAAGGCAUCUAAGCGGGAAGCCGUUCCAGGGAUUAGUUCUCCUUCCGGUAAGGGCCCAGGUAGACUACCUGGUCGAUAGACGGCAGGUGCAAGGACGGCGACGUCCUCAGCCGAGCCGCACUAAUCGCCCGAGCUCUUCCGGA